AAAAAUUAGCAGGCAGAGAAGACCAUGUUGAGAUUGACUCUGGUCUGGCACUGUAAGAGGACAUGAGAGGUGUAGCAUAAGUGGGAGAUGGUAACAUCGCCGGUGAAAUACUACUACUUUCAUCGUUUCUUUACUUACUCGUUUGGGCGGAACGCGUGCCCCGAGGGCUUACGCCCCGGCGGUCACGGUGUUCUAGAGCCAAGCGUGUAAGAGUGGCGUGAGGCCUCGGCCGAUCGCCGUUAAUACUCCCGCGUGAUCCGAUUCGAGGACACUGCCAGGCGGGGAUUUGACUGGGGCGGUACAUCUGUCAAAGAAUAACGCAGGUGUCCUAAGGCCAGCUCAGCGAGGACAGAAACCUCGCGUAGAAAGCAAAAUGGAAAGCUGGCUUGAUCUCGAUGUUCAAUACGCAUAGAGACUGCGAAAGCACGGCCUAUCGAUCCUUUUGGCUUGAAGAGUUUUCAGCAAGAGGUGUCAGAAAAGUUACCACAGGGAUAACUGGCUUGUGGCCGAGUGUUCAUAGUGACGUCGUUUUUUGAUCCUUCGAUGUCGGCUCUUCCUAUCAUUGCGAAGCAGAAUUCGCCAAGCGUCGGAUUGUUCACCCGCCAAUAGGGAACGUGAGCUGGGUUUAGACCGUCGUGAGACAGGUUAGUUUUACUCUACUGAUGACCAGUCAUUGCGAUAGUAAUUCUGCUCAGUACGAGAGGAUCCGCAGGUUCGGACAUUUGGUUCACGCACUCGGUCGAGCGGCCGGUGGUGCAAAGCUACCAUCCGUGGAAUUAUGCCUGAACGCCUCUAAGGCCGUAUCUUCUCUAGUCAAAGGCGGCAAUGAUAUUUCUAGGAGUCUCGUGAGUCGAAAGGCUCAAAACAAGUGUGACACUACUAGGCGACCGGUCCUAGGGCCGGUCGUCGCACGAGUCCGGUUUGCAUGGCCCCAUCGCCUGUAGUCGGGAUCUCACCGUUCGAUGGCACGGGGUCUAGCGGUCGACCAUGGGUUUCGCAAGUUCAAGGUCGAGACUCGGAAUGGUCUGUAGACGAUUUAGGUACCUGGCGGGGUGUUGUACUUGGUGGGGCAGUUACCACGCUGCGUUGUAUUGAGACUCAGCCCUCGGCUUGGGGAUUC
Molecule: non-coding RNA, 1120 nt
Filed under: Harpegnathos saltator (Jerdon's jumping ant)
Lineage: Eukaryota; Metazoa; Arthropoda; Insecta; Hymenoptera; Formicidae
Description: Eukaryotic large subunit ribosomal RNA
Rfam family: Eukaryotic large subunit ribosomal RNA
Source: Rfam by way of RNAcentral